UACAUCCUGAGGUUCUGUGAGUAUGC
RNAcentral lists this non-coding RNA (26 nucleotides) under Homo sapiens (human). The record is from RNAcentral. Lineage: Eukaryota; Metazoa; Chordata; Mammalia; Primates; Hominidae.